GGGGCUGUAGCUCAGUGGCAGAGUACUUGUAUAGCACAUGUGAGGCACUGGGUUCGAUUCUCAGCAGUACCA
Molecule: transfer RNA, 72 nt
Filed under: Marmota marmota marmota (Alpine marmot)
Lineage: Eukaryota; Metazoa; Chordata; Mammalia; Rodentia; Sciuridae
Also listed under: 1 other name
Rfam family: tRNA
About the family: Transfer RNA (tRNA) molecules are approximately 80 nucleotides in length.
Source: Rfam by way of RNAcentral